This 307-nucleotide ribosomal RNA is filed under the name uncultured bacterium. RNAcentral describes it as "partial 16S ribosomal RNA". It matches the Rfam family "Bacterial small subunit ribosomal RNA", at positions 506 to 808 of the family's 1533-position model. The record is from RNAcentral.
AGACAGCAGCCGCCACGGGAAUACAGAGGGUGCAAGCGUUAAUCGGAAUUACUGGGCGUAAAGCGCGCGUAGGUGGUUUGUUAAGUUGGAUGUGAAAUCCCCGGGCUCAACCUGGGAACUGCAUCCAAAACUGGCAAGCUAGAGUAUGGUAGAGGGUGGUGGAAUUUCCUGUGUAGCGGUGAAAUGCGUAGAUAUAGGAAGGAACACCAGUGGCGAAGGCGACCACCUGGACUGAUACUGACACUGAGGUGCGAAAGCGUGGGGAGCAAACAGGAUUAGAUACCCCCGUAGUCCCUGUCUCUAUACC